This 253-nucleotide ribosomal RNA is filed under the name uncultured bacterium. Its description in RNAcentral is "partial 16S ribosomal RNA". It matches the Rfam family "Bacterial small subunit ribosomal RNA", at positions 524 to 776 of the family's 1533-position model. The record is from RNAcentral.
UACAGAGGCCUCAAGCGUUGUUCGGAAUCACUGGGCGUAAAGGGCGCGUAGGCGGCCAACUAAGUCGGACGUGAAAUCCCCAGGCUCAACCUGGGAACUGCGUCCGAUACUGGAUGGCUUGAAUUCGGGAGAGGGAUGCAGAAUUCCAGGUGUAGCGGUGAAAUGCGUAGAUAUCUGGAGGAACACCGGUGGCGAAGGCGGCAUUCUGGACCGAAACUGACGCUGAGGCGCGAAAGCCAGGGGAGCAAACGGG